GAUGAACGCUGGCGGUAUGCUUAACACAUGCAAGUCGAACGAAAUACGAUGSBGUUUACUCUAUCGUAUGGCAGUGGCGGACGGGUGCGUAACGCGUAAGAACUUACCUUUUGGCGAGGGACAACCGCGGGAAACUGCGGCUAAUACCUCAUAGAGCUGAGGAGCGAAAGGUGAAAACCACCAAAAGAGAGGCUUGCGUCUGAUUAGCUAGUUGGUGAGSGUAAUGGCCUCCCAAGGCGACGAUCAGUAGCUGGUCUGAGAGGAUGAUCAGCCACACUGGAACUGAGACACGGUCCAGACUCCUACGGGAGGCAGCAGUGAGGAAUUUUCCGCAAUGGGCGAAAGCCUGACGGAGCAAUACCGCGUGGAGGAGGAAGGCCCGUGGGUCGUAAACUCCUUUUCUCAGAGAAGAACACAAUGACGGUAUCUGAGGAAUAAGCAUAGGCUAACUCCGUGC
RNAcentral lists this ribosomal RNA (457 nucleotides) under uncultured bacterium. RNAcentral's name for it is "bacterial SSU rRNA". It matches the Rfam family "Bacterial small subunit ribosomal RNA", at positions 28 to 508 of the family's 1533-position model. The record is from RNAcentral.